This 529-nucleotide long non-coding RNA is filed under the name Linum usitatissimum (flax). RNAcentral's name for it is "long non-coding RNA (LUSI_LNC008202)". Lineage: Eukaryota; Viridiplantae; Streptophyta; Magnoliopsida; Malpighiales; Linaceae. The record is from RNAcentral.
UUUGGAGACCGUCAAUGGACAAAUCGUAUUUGCAGAUCGUCUUCUCUUGCAAACUGCUUCACUGCAAGAAAUUCAAACGACUAUGUUGUUUGGUUCGAGGAUGUAAGAGGAAAGUUUCCAAAGGAUGUAGUUGAUAAAUGAUGCACCCUUCUCUAGUUUCUGUGGAAGGAGCGUAAUGCUCAUCUAUUGAAUGAUAAUCGAUUACCGGAAGGGGAGAUAACGGGACGAGCAACAAGCUUCCCCGAUAACUAUCGAAACGCCAACCAACAAGCAGAUAGGGAGCCGAUGCCUUCUUUGUUUCUUGGUUGGAGAAUACCAAAGCCUGACUUUGUGAAACUCAAUUCGGAUGCUGGAAUACUCGGUACUGAUGGUAUGGAGGCACGGAUUGUUCUUAGAGAUGAAGCUGGAAAGUUCUUAUUGGCAGGUGUUUUGAAACUUUCAGGGGUUUGGGAGAUUGCCCAGGUUGAAGCAAUGACUUUAGAAUUUGGUAUUGUGGAGUUGGAAUGUGAUAGUAGUAUGGUGAUUGAUG